GUUGCCAGAGUAGAUAUGGGGACAGAGUAGGCAAUGCGGUUUGUUACAGGAAUUGGUUCCUGGGUUACUGUUUCCGUGGUGUGUGUGGAGUUGCUGGUGAGUAU
Molecule: long non-coding RNA, 104 nt
Organism: Gopherus evgoodei (Goodes thornscrub tortoise)
Lineage: Eukaryota; Metazoa; Chordata; Testudines; Testudinidae
Exons: 3
Source: RefSeq, a predicted model, not a curated record